GACGAACGCUGGCGGCGUGCCUAAUACAUGCAAGUAGAACGCUGAAGGAGGAGCUUGCUCUUCUGGAUGAGUUGCGAACGGGUGAGUAACGCGUAGGUAACCUGCCUGGUAGUGGGGGAUAACUAUUGGAAACGAUAGCUAAUACCGCAUAAUAACAGUUGUUGCAUGACAACUGUUUGAAAGGUGCAAUUGCAUCACUACCAGAUGGACCUGCGUUGUAUUAGCUAGUUGGUGGGGUAACGGCUCACCAAGGCGACGAUACAUAGCCGACCUGAGAGGGUGAUCGGCCACACUGGGACUGAGACACGGCCCGGACUCCUACGGGAGGCAGCAGUAGGGAAUCUUCGGCAAUGGACGAAAGUCUGACCGAGCAACGCCGCGUGAGUGAAGAAGGUUUUCGGAUCGUAAAGCUCUGUUGUAAGAGAAGAACGAGUGUGAGAGUGGAAAGUUCACACUG
This 457-nucleotide ribosomal RNA is filed under the name Streptococcus sp. oral taxon C56. RNAcentral describes it as "bacterial SSU rRNA". It matches the Rfam family "Bacterial small subunit ribosomal RNA", at positions 28 to 471 of the family's 1533-position model. Lineage: Bacteria; Bacillati; Bacillota; Bacilli; Lactobacillales; Streptococcaceae. The record is from RNAcentral.